Molecule: ribosomal RNA, 624 nt
Filed under: uncultured bacterium
Lineage: Bacteria
Description: bacterial SSU rRNA
Rfam family: Bacterial small subunit ribosomal RNA (bases 1-542)
Source: RNAcentral
CCUACGGGAGGCAGCAGUGGGGAAUUUUGGACAAUGGGGGCAACCCUGAUCCAGCCAUGCCGCGUGCGGGAAGAAGGCCUUCGGGUUGUAAACCGCUUUUGGUCGGGAAGAAAGGUUUCUCUUGAAUACGGAGGGACUGUGACGGUACCGGCAGAAUAAGCACCGGCUAACUACGUGCCAGCAGCCGCGGUAAUACGUAGGGUGCGAGCGUUAAUCGGAAUUACUGGGUGUAAAGAGUGCGUAGGCGGUUCGUUAUGUCUGUGGUGAAAGCCCUGGGCUCAACCUAGGAAUGGCCAUGGAAACUGGCGGGCUGGAGUAUGGCAGAGGGGGGUGGAAUUCCGCGUGUAGCAGUGAAAUGCGUAGAGAUGCGGAGGAACACCGAUGGCGAAGGCAGCCCCCUGGGCUACUACUGACGCUGAGGCACGAAAGCGUGGGGAGCAAACAGGAUUAGAUACCCUGGUAGUCCACGCCCUAAACGAUGAUCACUAGGUGUUGGGGAAGUGAUUCCUUGGUACCGCAGCUAACGCGUGAAGUGAUCCGCCUGGGGAGGUACGGCGCGAGUAAACGUACGUAAUAGUAGUUAGAGUCGUUGAGAGUUGCCGACGGCGACGACGAGGGAGGAGG